UUUAUUUAUUUAAUGAGGGGGAGAAUACAAGCAGGGGAGGGACGGAGAGAAAGGGAGAGAGAAUCCCAAGCAGGCUCCGUGCUGUCAGCGCAGAGCCUGACGUGGUUCUCGGUCUCAUGAACGGUGAGAUCAUGACCUGAGCCAAAAUCAAGAGUCGGCUGGACGCUUGACUGACUGAGCCAUGAGGCGCCUUUUUUUUUUUUUUUUUAAGAGGGGAGAAGUACGAACACAUUUGUGUGCUGAAGGGAAUGGUUCACCGGAGAGGGGGAAGGUGAUCGCCUGGAGAGAUUUCUGGGAGCCUCUGCAAUUCCCGCGUGCAGAAGAAGAGCGGGCAGGGGGUUGAGUGAACCCCGUGGUGGCCUUGCCCAGCAAGGGUGACAACACUGCCAACGAGAAAAAGGGAGCCUGUGUGCAGUGUGGUGUCCACGCAGUGACCACGUAACUUAAGGUCUCUGCUCCAGUAUCAUUUUCUCAGCAAGGCCAGACUUCAUCAUCUUAUUUAAAAUUGCUCUCUGUAUUUAAAAGUCUCUUAUGGUUUGUCUCCCUCUCUUUUUUUUUUUUUUUAUUAUUUCUGCUUCCCUUCCCUUAUGUUCAUCUGUUUUGUAUCUUAAAUUCCACAUAUGAGUGAAAUAAUGUGAUGUUUGUUUCUCUGACUGACUUAUUUCACUUAGCAUAAUAUACUGUAUAUAAUAAUAUAAUAUAAUAUAUAAUACAUGUUGCAAAUGACAAUAUGUCAUUCUUUUUGACUGCUGUGUAAUAUUCCAUUGCGUAUAUAUGUGCAUAUAAAUACCACAUCUUCUUUAUCCAUUCAUCCAUCGAUGGACGUUUGGGCUCUUUCCACACUUUGGCUAUUGUUGAUAGUGCUGCUAUAAACAUUAGGGUGCACGUGCCCCUUCGAAUCAGCACUCCUGUAUCCUUUGGAUGCCUAGUAGUGCAGUGAUAUAAAAACAGAGAGGAAGACAAACCAUGAGAGACUCUUAAAUACAGAGAGCAAACUGAGGGU
This is a long non-coding RNA of Acinonyx jubatus (cheetah), 1003 nucleotides long. RefSeq lists it as uncharacterized. NCBI's taxonomy places the organism in Eukaryota, Metazoa, Chordata, Mammalia, Carnivora, Felidae. The record is from RefSeq and is a predicted model, not a curated record. The transcript has 3 exons.